AAUCAACGCUGGCGGCGUGCCUCAGACAUGCAAGUCGAACGCGAAAGUCCCCUUCGGGGGAGUAAGUAGAGUGGCGCACGGGUGAGUAACACGUAGGUAAUCUACCUUCGGGUGGGGAAUAACCCAGGGAAACUUGGGCUAACACCGCAUAAUGCAGCGGCACCACAUGGUGACAGUUGUUAAAGCGGGGGAUUUUCGGACCUCGCGCCUGGAGAGGAGCCUGCGGCAGAUUAGCUAGNGGUUAAGGUAACGGCUUACCAAGGCGACGAUCUGUAACCGGCCUGAGAGGGGCGGUCGGUCACACUGACACUGACAUACGGGUCAGACUCCUACGGGAGGCAGCAGUCGGGAAUUUUGGGCAAUGGGCGAAAGCCUGACCCAGCAACG
This 387-nucleotide ribosomal RNA is filed under the name uncultured bacterium. RNAcentral describes it as "bacterial SSU rRNA". It matches the Rfam family "Bacterial small subunit ribosomal RNA", at positions 32 to 396 of the family's 1533-position model. The record is from RNAcentral.